CCCUUAGAUGUUCUGGGCCGCACGCGCGCUACACUGAGUGGAUCAGCGGGUCAGGUUGCGCGAAAGUGUUUCCCAAUCUUUAAAUCCGCUCGUGAUGGGGAUUGACGGUUGCAAUUUUCCGUCAUGAACGAGGAAUACCUUGUAAGCGCGGGUCAUCAUCCCGCGCUGAAUACGUCCCUGCCCUUUGUACACACCGCCCGUCGCUCCUACCGAUUGAGUGGUCCGGUGAGGCUUUGGGAUCUGAGCGGAAAGAGCGUUUCGCUGUUUCUGCCCGGAAAACUCAGUCGAACCUUAUCAUUUAGAGGAAGGAGAAGUCGUAACA
This 322-nucleotide ribosomal RNA is filed under the name uncultured eukaryote. RNAcentral describes it as "partial 18S ribosomal RNA". It matches the Rfam family "Eukaryotic small subunit ribosomal RNA", at positions 1470 to 1796 of the family's 1831-position model. The record is from RNAcentral.